RNAcentral lists this ribosomal RNA (773 nucleotides) under uncultured bacterium. Its description in RNAcentral is "bacterial SSU rRNA". It matches the Rfam family "Bacterial small subunit ribosomal RNA", at positions 65 to 858 of the family's 1533-position model. The record is from RNAcentral.
AACGAGUUUCCGGGCUUGCUCGGAAAUUAGUGGCGAACGGCUGAGUAACGCGUAGGUGACCUACCCCGUAGUGAGGAAUAACUGCCCGAAAGGGUAGCUAAUACCUCAUGUUGAGACGCUUUCAUUAGCGUCUCCAAAGCAGCAAUGCGCUAUGGGCGGGGCCUGCGUUCGAUUAGCUAGUUGGUGAGGUAAUGGCUCACCAAGGCGACGAUCGAUAGGUGGUCUGAGAGGACGAUCACCCAGACUGGGACUGAGACACGGCCCAGACUCCUACGGGAGGCAGCAGUCGGGAAUUUUGCGCAAUGGGGGAAACCCUGACGCAGCAAUACCGCGUGUGGGAUGAAGGCCUUCGGGUCGUAAACCACUUUUCUCGGGGACGAUAAUGACGGUACCCGAGGAAUAAGCCACGGCUAACUACGUGCCAGCAGCCGCGGUAAUACGUAGGUGGCAAGCGUUGUCCGGAUUUACUGGGCGUAAAGCGCGCGCAGGCGGUGAAUGAAGUCCAAAGUGAAAGCCCCGGGCUCAACUCGGGAACAGCUUUCGAAACCAGUUCACUUGAAGGUGGAAGAGGGAAGUGGAAUUCCGAGUGUAGCGGUGGAAUGCGCAGAUAUUCGGAGGAACACCAGAGGCGAAGGCGACUUCCUGGUCCAAUCUUGACGCUGAGGCGCGAAAGCUAGGGGAGCAAACAGGAUUAGAUAUCCUGGUAGUCCUAGCUGUAAACGAUGGAUACUAGGUGUUGGAGGUUUUAACCCCUCCGGUGCCGCAGCUAACGC